GGCCACGCAGCCAGCGCCGCCAAGCUGCAGGGUUUAUCGAGGUUCAGCGUCUCCUGACACCUCCUGACGUCUCACCUCUGUGCCACCCAACACUGGCCAGAAAGCCACGGAGCUCCCCUCAAGCACCGUAGGAGAGUCCAGCCGUGGGGACCCCUCCAACCCUCAAGCCCUAACCCCGUGAAACCCAGCAACUGUUCCCCUUCCCAGCACUGAAGCAUUUUCGGGGUGCUGUGGGGUUCUGCUCUGCUCCCCCAGGAGCUCUCAGGCACCCUGUGGCACGUGGCACUGUUGGUGUGGACUCAGAACCACAUCUGGGAGGACCCGAGAGGUGGCGGUCAGGCUCCCUGCUGCGUCCUUCCCAGCAAUUGAGGGCACACCGUCUGCAGGGGAGACGAGGAUGACAAAGCCCCGUGUGGGACGGUCCGUCCUGCCCGAUGCGGCCUCAGGGUGCGGUGGCUGUCGUUCCCAGUGGCCCUGAGUUGGGCUGUGCCACGCAGCCAGUGCCCCCCCCGUGAGACCUGCCCGGGACCUCUCCUGUCCUCUCCGGGAAGGUGGCACCUGGCCUGUGCCGGCCACAGAGCUGCACUGAGUGUGCGCAGCGUCUGUCCACCUCCGAGCCGCAGGCGCCAUGGUCGUGUAACAAGUGUGCGAAAUGACUUCUGCACACAGACAACUUACCGGAGCUCAAUUAUUCAUGCCGGCCCUGAUGACUUCCUCCCGCCCCUCCUACCUGUCAGAUCUGCUCCUGUGUUCAGACAGACACCAGGCUCGGCCGCGGACAGCCAGAGGUGAGGAUUAAUAUUUCACGACAGUUGAUGAUAACUGCAUGAUAACUUUAUUGACCAGGCUCCAUGGGAAGGCGUGGAAAGUGGUGCCUCCUCUGAGGGAGAGGACAUGGGCCGCCGCCUCCCACAGGGCUCUUGCCGGGUCCGCAGGGUGCUGUGUGCCGCAGGAAGUGUGGGCCCCUUUCCCGGCUCCCGGCUCUGGGAGUGGCCGGGAGUUACCUGUUCUCAGGCCGUCUCUUCUACACAGCACGGAAAUCCCACAGUGCUGUCUCCAACAGGGUCUCCGGGUGGUGCUGAAUACAGAGCAGCCUCCGCACGCGAGAAGCACCUGAAGUCGCCUGUGGGCCUCUCUGAGGGUCCCCGGGCCCUGCCUGGGGGAGCAGGGCAGCCUCAAGCAUCCACCAACCCAGAAAGGCCUCCAUCAGGGUGACGCCACCCACACAGGAGGGGGUUGCUUCUCUCCGCCCACAGACCCUGCACUGACCUCCACCAGGGGCACCCAGAAUGAUGUCACAGCAACACAGGAAGUCAGACGCCACCCACACGCAUGACACGCGAGGCUCGCUCCUACAGCAGGCCACACCACGCCACUCCCCAGCCAAACCCCAGCCUCGGGCAGAGCAGGCUGAGGGCCACUGCGGAGCAGGGA
RNAcentral lists this long non-coding RNA (1434 nucleotides) under Chinchilla lanigera (long-tailed chinchilla). RNAcentral describes it as "lncRNA (ENSCLAG00000026855.1)". Lineage: Eukaryota; Metazoa; Chordata; Mammalia; Rodentia; Chinchillidae. The record is from RNAcentral.